Long non-coding RNA from Phyllopteryx taeniolatus (common seadragon), 953 nucleotides. RefSeq lists it as uncharacterized. Lineage: Eukaryota; Metazoa; Chordata; Actinopteri; Syngnathiformes; Syngnathidae. The transcript is spliced from 4 exons. The record is from RefSeq and is a predicted model, not a curated record.
GAUCGAUGCCGCCCUUUUUCAGGUUUGAAUUUUUCACACGUCUCAGUCGGGACUAUCUGCUUGUCAAAGUUUAUGCUUUCCCAAUUUUUAUUACAUCUGAUCUUGGUGUGAUCUAGAACAUGAUCUAACUCUUUGGAGACAUCAUAUUGUUUUGAUAACUGGCAAUCAUGGAUUUCGUGGUUAAUUUUGGCACCUAUUUGAAGAUGAUUCUGUACCUGCUCCAAGUGCUGCGUUAUAUCUGUCAUCGAUUCAGUCAGGAUCACCUGGAGCUGCUGUUCAACUCAAUCAGGGCAUCCGGUGGAUGGAACAACAACGUGGCAGAAAGAUUCCAGGCCAUUUUCUGCCCUAUAAUGGUUCGGUGUGGUGUGGAACCAAGUGGGUCAGGCAACGCGGCAGCACAACAAGACUGUGUGCGUUCGUGUCUGCCCUCGAGACGUCCCCUUCUGUAGCAGCUUUUCCUUCCUCUGUUGCCUACAUACCUGUACUACCGUACGUCCCCAUCCGUUUUAUUGUUCUUGUUGAAAACGCCCUAGUCAACAUCUUUUUUUUUUUUGCUGUUUGACAGAGUUUGCAUGUUCUCUCCGUGCCUGUGUGGGUGUUCUCCGGGUACUCCGGGUUUCCUACCAUAUUCCCAAAAACAUGCAUGGUAGGUUAAUUAAAGACUCUGAAUUGCCCGUAGGUGUGAAUGUGAGUGUGAAUGAUUGUUUGUCUAUACGUGCCCUGUGAUUGGCUGUCGACCAGUUCAGGGUGUACACCGCCUUUCGCCCAGAGUUAGCUGGGAUAGUCUCCAGCACGCCAUUGACCCAAGUGAAGAUUAACGGUACGGAAACAUACAGUAUAUCACUUUGAUUACAGAAUUAUCAAAAGAUGUGUUCAACAGUGCUAUUUUGUUUAUUUUUGUGCCUUGCAACAGUGUAAUUUGCAUCAGCAAUUGUGAAAUAAAUAAAUCAACA